UACGAAGGGGGCUAGCGUUGCUCGGAUUGACUGGGCGUAAAGGGUGCGUAGGCGGGUUUUUAAGUCAGGGGUGAAAUCCUGGAGCUCAACUCCAGAACUGCCUUUGAUACUGAAAAUCUUGAGUCCGGGAGAGGUGAGUGGAACUGCGAGUGUAGAGGUGAAACUCGUAGAUAUUCGCAAGAACACCAGUGGCGAAGGCGGCUCACUGGCCCGGUACUGACGCUGAGGCACGAAAGCGUGGGGAGCAAACAGG
Molecule: ribosomal RNA, 253 nt
Filed under: uncultured bacterium
Lineage: Bacteria
Description: partial 16S ribosomal RNA
Rfam family: Bacterial small subunit ribosomal RNA
Source: RNAcentral